This 646-nucleotide ribosomal RNA is filed under the name uncultured Actinomycetes bacterium. Its description in RNAcentral is "bacterial SSU rRNA". It matches the Rfam family "Bacterial small subunit ribosomal RNA", at positions 773 to 1421 of the family's 1533-position model. Lineage: Bacteria; Bacillati; Actinomycetota; Actinomycetes. The record is from RNAcentral.
CAGGAUUAGAUACCCUGGUAGUCCACGCCGUAAACGGUGGGCGCUAGUUGUGCGAACCUUCCACGGUUUGUGCGACGCAGCUAACGCAUUAAGCGCCCCGCCUGGGGAGUACGAUCGCAAGAUUAAAACUCAAAGGAAUUGACGGGGCCCCGCACAAGCAGCGGAGCAUGCGGCUUAAUUCGACGCAACGCGAAGAACCUUACCAAGGCUUGACAUAUACAGGAAUAUGGCAGAGAUGUCAUAGCCGCAAGGUCUGUAUACAGGUGGUGCAUGGUUGUCGUCAGCUCGUGUCGUGAGAUGUUGGGUUAAGUCCCGCAACGAGCGCAACCCUCGUUCUGUGUUGCCAGCAUUAAGUUGGGGACUCACAGGAGACUGCCGGGGUUAACUCGGAGGAAGGUGGGGAUGACGUCAAAUCAUCAUGCCCCUUAUGUCUUGGGCUGCACGCAUGCUACAAUGGCUGGUACAAACGGCUGCGAUACCGCAAGGUGGAGCGAAUCCGAUAAAGCCAGUCUCAGUUCGGAUUGGGGUCUGCAACUCGACCCCAUGAAGUCGGAGUUGCUAGUAAUCGUAGAUCAGCAACGCUACGGUGAAUACGUUCCCGGGGCUUGUACACACCGCCCGUCACAUCACGAAAGUCGGUAACACC